This 468-nucleotide ribosomal RNA is filed under the name uncultured bacterium. RNAcentral's name for it is "partial 16S ribosomal RNA". It matches the Rfam family "Bacterial small subunit ribosomal RNA", at positions 28 to 507 of the family's 1533-position model. The record is from RNAcentral.
GACGAACGCUGGCGGCGUGCUUAACACAUGCAAGUCGAACGGAAAGGCCCUGCUUUUGUGGGGUGCUCGAGUGGCGAACGGGUGAGUAGCACGUGAGUAACCUGCCCUUGACUUUGGGAUAACUUCAGGAAACUGGGGCUAAUACCGGAUAGGAGCUCCUGCUGCAUGGUGGGGGUUGGAAAGUUUCGGCGGUUGGGGAUGGACUCGCGGCUUAUCAGCUUGUUGGUGGGGUAGUGGCUUACCAAGGCUUUGACGGGUAGCCGGCCUGAGAGGGUGACCGGCCACAUUGGGACUGAGAUACGGCCCAGACUCCUACGGGGGGCAGCAGUGGGGAAUAUUGCACAAUGGGCGGAAGCCUGAUGCAGCGACGCCGCGUGCGGGAUGACGGCCUUCGGGUUGUAAACCGCUUUCGCCUGUGACGAAGCGUGAGUGACGGUAAUGGGUAAAGAAGCACCGGCUAACUACGUG